Molecule: long non-coding RNA, 866 nt
Filed under: Capsella grandiflora
Lineage: Eukaryota; Viridiplantae; Streptophyta; Magnoliopsida; Brassicales; Brassicaceae
Description: long non-coding RNA (CGRA_LNC000651)
Source: RNAcentral
UUUCUUUCAAUAUACAUUAGUGCUUUUGCAGUGUUGGGCUGAACUUUUUCCAGUAUCGUUUUUCUUCGGUGAUUCUUGCCGCAUUGCUCUCGGCUGUUCAUGGCCGAAUUAGGUGUUAGUUAACAUUCUGGUUCUCUGCGACAUUUGUUAAGGACUUAUGUUUGCUGUUUUUAGUUUUAUGGUUUUUGUGCUUUAAAUCCUUAGAUCUAGGUUAAAGUUGAUGAUUUAAGUGAUUGAUUGCUUAAACUAAUUUAUCUCUAGCUCUUUUCUUUGUGAUUUGGUUUGCAGGAACAAUAGUAAAGCUAUUGUCUCUGAUUGAAGGAAAAAAAGAAUCCCCAGAUGAUUAAGAUUUAUUUUAAACUGUUCUUCUUUGUUGGAUCUUCGAUUGAAUAUGUACCUGAUCCAAUGUACGUUAGUAUCGAUCGUUUGGCCGGAAUUAUUAGUAUUGUUGGCAGUUGAUUCAUACUUAAGCUAAGACGCAAGAUGAAGAAGAGGAAUCGUAAGAAUGAGAAGAAGAAGAAGGAUGUUGUGUCGUAGGAGGAGGAAAAAGAAGAAAGAAGAAAAGGCACUUGGGCUAGAAGUUAACAAAGGCCCGUGUAAAUGGGUUUGUUUAGUGUGUGUUAUGUCAAGUCAAGGAUACAACAAUCAUAUAAUAAUAUAAAUAUGGCUGUAUUGGUGUAAUGAAGAAUGUACGUGAGAUUAAGAAGAUAAGGUUGAAGUGGCUAAACCUAAACUCUAAAAGUUCCAUCUGAAUUUAAAAGCAAACACAAUUUUGAGUUUGCGGAGCAAUAGGUUGAAAGGGGUAGAAUUAACAUCGGUAUGUUAUACGAUAAUAUAAAUGAAAAUGUAAUUUUUAACACCUUAAA